GCCUGGGUGGCUCAGUGGGUUAAGCAUCUGACUUCAGCUCGGGUCAUGAUCUCGUAGUCUGUGAGUUCGAGCCCCACAUCAGGCU
Molecule: transfer RNA, 85 nt
Filed under: Felis catus (domestic cat)
Lineage: Eukaryota; Metazoa; Chordata; Mammalia; Carnivora; Felidae
Rfam family: tRNA
About the family: Transfer RNA (tRNA) molecules are approximately 80 nucleotides in length.
Source: Rfam by way of RNAcentral